AUCAAAUUAAUGUGUUGAUUAUGUCAUCAGAUACACAUUUCUUAGUAUUUGAUGUGCAGCCACAGAAACAUAUUGCUGAAUAUUUCAUUGUGUCAUGAAGCUUCAUUUUAGAGUGAGGCCUAUUACAUCCCAUAAGUCUCCAGAACACAGUAUGUUUCAUUAUAC
Long non-coding RNA from Etheostoma spectabile (orangethroat darter), 165 nucleotides. RefSeq lists it as uncharacterized. The record is from RefSeq and is a predicted model, not a curated record. The transcript has 3 exons. NCBI's taxonomy places the organism in Eukaryota, Metazoa, Chordata, Actinopteri, Perciformes, Percidae.